This 436-nucleotide long non-coding RNA is filed under the name Vulpes vulpes (red fox). RNAcentral describes it as "lncRNA (ENSVVUG00000009607.1)". The record is from RNAcentral. Lineage: Eukaryota; Metazoa; Chordata; Mammalia; Carnivora; Canidae.
GGGGCAUUUGGCAUCCACCAGUAUCCAUCAGGCAGUGAGCCUCUUGUGCAGGGGUGAUGUUCUAUAAAAUCUCAGCAAAGGAAAAUAAAGAAACUUAGAAAUGAAAGCUGAUUGGAAUCAAAGAGAUGAGAGCCCUUAUCAGGGGUCUUGUUCAAUCAGGAAGUCUAUUGGCCAACAGUGAGCUCAGUGCAGGAAUAUAGAGGAAUCUAUGUCGCAUAAGACCUGGCAAAGGGGAGAUUGUUGGCAGCAUUUCUUCCAGAACAAUGUAAGAGAUAAGGAAAAGCUGAAAAAUAGUAUGAAAAUUCGAGGCAUCACAAAUUCCUCCCCCCACCCAACUUCAAUUGCCAGGUAAACUGAACAGUUUUUCAAAUUCUUUGAAUAUUUGAAUUUAUUGUUUUUUGAAAUGCUUUCUUAAACAUUUUGCCUAAUUCUUUUU